CCUACGGGAGGCAGCAGUGAGGAAUAUUGGUCAAUGGACGAGAGUCUGAACCAGCCAAGUAGCGUGAAGGAUGACUGCCCUAUGGGUUGUAAACUUCUUUUAUAUGGGAAUAAAAUGUUCCACGUGUGGGAUUUUGUAUGUACCAUAUGAAUAAGGAUCGGCUAACUCCGUGCCAGCAGCCGCGGUAAUACGGAGGAUCCGAGCGUUAUCCGGAUUUAUUGGGUGUAAAGGGAGCGUAGGUGGAUUGUUAAGUCAGUUGUGAAAGUUUGCGGCUCAACCGUAAAAUUGCAGUUGAAACUGGCAGUCUUGAGUACAGUAGAGGUAGGCGGAAUUCGUGGUGUAGCGGUGAAAUGCUUAGAUAUCACGAAGAACUCCGAUUGCGAAGGCAGUUCACUGGACUGCAACUGACACUGAGGCUCGAAAGUGUGGGUAUCAAACAGGAUUAGAUACCCUAGUAGUC
This 460-nucleotide ribosomal RNA is filed under the name uncultured bacterium. RNAcentral describes it as "partial 16S ribosomal RNA". It matches the Rfam family "Bacterial small subunit ribosomal RNA", at positions 338 to 795 of the family's 1533-position model. The record is from RNAcentral.